UACGUAGGUGGCGAGCGUUGUCCGGAUUUACUGGGCGUAAAGGGAGCGUAGGCGGACUUUUAAGUGAGGCGUGAAAUACCCGGGCUCAACUUGGGUGCUGCAUUUCAAACUGGAAGUCUAGAGUGCAGGAGAGGAGAAUGGAAUUCCUAGUGUAGCGGUGAAAUGCGUAGAGAUUAGGAAGAACACCAGUGGCGAAGGCGAUUCUCUGGACUGUAACUGACGCUGAGGCUCGAAAGCGUGGGGAGCAAACAGGAUUAGAUACCCCGGUA
RNAcentral lists this ribosomal RNA (269 nucleotides) under uncultured prokaryote. Its description in RNAcentral is "partial 16S ribosomal RNA". It matches the Rfam family "Bacterial small subunit ribosomal RNA", at positions 524 to 792 of the family's 1533-position model. The record is from RNAcentral.